This 253-nucleotide ribosomal RNA is filed under the name uncultured bacterium. RNAcentral describes it as "partial 16S ribosomal RNA". It matches the Rfam family "Bacterial small subunit ribosomal RNA", at positions 524 to 776 of the family's 1533-position model. The record is from RNAcentral.
UACGUAGGGACCGAGCGUUGUCCGGAUUCAUUGGGCGUAAAGAGCUCGUAGGCGGCCACUCAAGUCGAAUGUGAAAGCUCGAGGCUUAACCUCGAGCCUGCAUUCGAUACUGGGCGGCUAGAGUGUGGUAGGGGGAUCUGGAAUUCCUGGUGUAGUGGUGAUAUGCGUAGAUAUCGGGAGGAACACCUGUGGCGAAGGCGGCUUUCUGGGCCUUACCUGACGCUGAGACGCGAAAGCGUGGGGAGCGAACAGG